ACACACCAGCCAAAAAAAAUUAAUCGCUCUCCGAAAAGUGAAAAGACUCCUCUCGUCGCGGUACGGCCAUUCGAAGUCUGACGCCCUUGCGCUUAGGACGUGUACUUUUUUGUUCGGCAGCGGGUUCCUCGUUCCUCGAGAGAGUGUCCUAUCCAUGAAAAAGUUGGGGCUUUAGGACCGCACCGACUCUUGGCACGCCAGGUGCUGAAGAAUUGACCAGAGUGCGAGGAAUCCGGUGAAGAAGAAAGAUAAAACCGGAAGUGUGAGGUUCGAGAUUCUCGGUGGUCCAAACCUCCUCCUCAUCCCCCCCUCAGUUGUGGUGUGCUGGAUGGGAGGUGACCCGGUGUGAAUGGAUCGUACGGUUUUGGCAACGCAGGAAAAAGAGCCCGGUUCCUGAGAGUGAAGAAGCUACCUGCUGGCAGAACGCGCGAGAGAGAGAGAGCGCGUGGCAGCGGCGAGAGCGAGAUAGUUGUGGUGUUGUGUGAGGUGGCAAGGUGGUGGUGCAGUGAGUGUCCAGUGGAAUCCUGCGGCGGAAGUGGAAGUGGUAGUAGAGGAGGCGACCAGCAGCAGCAGCUAAGGCCGAUCGUGUACCUUAGCGUCACCGUAGUAGAACCCCGGGUCGUCGUCCAAGGUCCCCCCAAAACCCAUCAAAACGACAUUCACGUUGUCUGACCUUUCUGCGCGAUCGGAGUAGUGUCCCUGUCCGGGAGACUUGACCAAACGCCGCCAACAUGACGAAGGACAGAUUAGCAGCCCUACAGGCGGCACAAAGCGACGAUGAGGACAUGCCGGAAGAAGUGGCCGUGCCGGUGGAGGGCGGCAACUUCAUGGAGGACUUCUUCCAGGACGUGGAACAGAUCCGGGAGAUGAUCGACAAGAUCCAGGCGAACGUGGAGGAGGUGAAGAAAAAGCACAGUGCCAUCCUGUCGGCCCCACAGUCAGAUGAGAAAACUAAACAAGAGCUCGAAGACCUGAUGGCCGAUAUCAAAAAAACUGCCAACAGAGUAAGAGGGAAACUUAAGAGUAUCGAACAAAACAUUGAGCAGGAGGAGCAGACGAACAAGUCCAAUGCCGAUCUCCGGAUACGGAAGACACAGCACUCGGCGCUGUCGCGUAAGUUCGUCGAGGUGAUGACCGAGUACAAUCGGACCCAGACUGACUACCGAGAGCGGUGCAAAGGAAGAAUACAACGACAACUGGAAAUUACGGGUAGAGCGACGACAAAUGAAGAGCUGGAGGAGAUGCUGGAGCAGGGCAACUCGGCCGUCUUCACGCAGGGGAUUAUAAUGGAAACCCAACAAGCUAAACAAACGCUCGCCGAUAUCGAGGCACGGCAUGCAGAUAUUAUAAAAUUGGAGAAUUCAAUUAGGGAGCUACAUGAUAUGUUCAUGGAUAUGGCCAUGCUCGUCGAGAGUCAGGGUGAAAUGAUCGAUCGUAUAGAAUAUCAUGUUGAACACGCAAUGGAUUAUGUCCAAACAGCGACACAAGACACAAAGAAAGCGCUUAAAUAUCAAAGCAAAGCCCGCCGGAAGAAGAUCAUAAUCCUGAUAUGUGUGAGCAUCCUCUUGAUAGUGGUUGCGUCUACAGUUGCCGGAUAUGUCGGUUUUUAAAGAGCAUCGAUCGAAAACGAAAAACAACAUCAAGAACAACCGUCGUCGGCGACUAAUCAGUCAUGCCACACACACCCACAAACACAAAACACACGCAGACACACAUAGGUUACAACUUAUUACAAAAACACAAGCGACGAACCACGGUGGCUUUACUCCUAUUUCUCAGUCGCUUUCACGCGUGCGUGGUCCAUACAAUAUUGCUGUUUAACUAUCGACGACGGCUUGCAGAGUUUCUUUUUUAGCAGCAGCCAAAAUAUCUCUUGGAUUUCGUUUCGCCGAGGAAGCCAACGCAUUAUUUCGUACAAAUUCAUAACGCUGUUCACUCAGCGACAGCGAGUCAUCUCUGUUUGCUUCAUGACAUCAACACACACUCACACACACAGCUUAGACGAGAACGACACAUCGUCCGCAUCCGGAGGUGAAGACCGGUGGCCAUCGUGCGCGUCGCGUCGAGCACGAGCGUUGUUCUGUUUCACAGACAGUCAUUUUAGCCCGGCGAGGAAAAAAGGAAGAAAACAACCAAGACAACCACAAAUUUACGCUUGUUGAGUAAUUAUUAAGUUUGUUAGAUUUAGAUAGUUUUGGUGUCCUCGUUACGCAGGACGUGCGGAUUUAGUGCUGAGUUCGUUUUUUCGUUACGUAUUCUAGUCCAUAUUUCGGAUCGCCGCGCUCUCUGUAGGUUAAAACAAGGAACAAAGUUUUUUUUCUGCGUUUACUUUGUGUAAAUAUAACCACGUGUAAUUCUCUACUACUGGCUUUCGUUGAUCACUAGCCAAAAGCAUGGAAAACAUGGCGUUUGAAGAGUGUCUAUGUGGGCGGGUUGCGCUAAGCGAGCUAAUAUUUGUAGCUGAGUUCUGGAGUUAUUAGGCUAAAGUGUGGCAGUUUAUGCUUGCGGUAUCGAACUGUUUUACCGGUUAUUUGGAGCAGUGUGUUAGGCCAAUGGGAAAGUGCGGGCGGAUCAUAGCAAUAAAACUACAAGGAAAGGGUUGCCUCUUUGAUUUUCGUUCUUUCUGCUGCUAGAAUGAAUCUUGGAGGUACUUGCGCGCAAAGCAUUAGCAUACGCAAGGGAGAGAAACUGUACCGGCAAAUUACAGAACUAAAAUGUGUGCACUAAAAAUCUGAAAACAGAAAAAAACAUGACAACAAAACAACAUCAAACAGAAUAAGAACGAACGGCAGAAGCGGAAUGAAAAUCAUAAAAUGAACACUAAAAAGAGGAAAAUUAAAGAAGAAAAAAUGUUCAAGAAAAUGUGUGAUAAUAUUUAAAAGUAAUAAUCUCUAACAUUAAUUUGAGGAGAAAAUGGGAAAAAAUAUACAAGAAAGAAAAGCCUAUAGAUAUAUUACUAUUAUUCACGAAAAACAAAAAAAAAAUCAUAACAGAAUGUCAUAUUUAUAGCUCCUACAUAUAUAGGAAACGACACGGUGGCAGUGGAUCGUAGAACGGCACGAAUCUUUGGCGUGAAACCUUUUUGCACACACAUACACACAAUUCAAGACACACACACAUAAGGGUGAGGCUUUCUUGCCCGUUUCUACACUUCAAAACAGUAUUUGGUUUGUCACCUAUAAUUUGUAAUGUUCUUUUUGAAAAUUUCAAAAUGAGUGUAAAUUUUUUUACACACUUCUACAAAAAGAAAUUCAAACUAACUUUGCCCUAUAGAGGAGAAAAGCAACUCGCGACAAAAUUUUGAGGCUAGGAAUUUUGACAGGUAUGAUUUUCAUAAAGUAUUCGCCUCCUUUUCUCUCCCACAGAAAACCUGGGAACGAGGUAGCUGUCAAACUAGGCCAAAAUGUUAAAGUCACUCACAUAAUGAACUUUGAGUGAUUUGAGUUCAUUUCUGACGUCACGAUUUUCUCCUCUAUUACCGCCGGCGUGAAUCAUUAGAGUUCACUCGAGUUGGUCAGUCACAGAACAAAUUUUCGGUAGUCGUCUAAGUAUGCCUUGAUUUUUCAGAGAAUUUUCAAAACAAUCCAAGUUGACAGCUUAUUUUCACACCGCAGUUUUUCCGCGUCUUUAAUAAGCUCCUAUCAGUCUCAGGAUCAGGAUCUUUUGACUUGAAAAACUGGAAAAAAUGAUCAAAGCGUGGCUGAGGUUACUCGCUUGUUCUUUUCAGCUGUCACUCGCAAUUUUGAAGUGCGUAUGAUCAGUUUGGUGGAAAGUGCAACUGGAAGUGUAAACAAAAAACCUGGUUGCCUAGAUUCAAGGCAGAUAAGAUGAGGUAAGGCUGUCAACAAAAAGUUAGCACGAAAACCGGAUUUUAUAUGAAGAUUUUCAGAAAAGUGAAAAUUGAUAAUUUUGCGGACAAAAUUCACCGGAUUUGUGCAUAACAAAAUGUGGGCGAAAUCCAAGCUAAAAUGCCAGGAUCCUUGCUUGCAUCUCGUCAAUUUUUAUGGAAAUUGGAAAUCAAAAUUACUUUAAAUCGCGGAUUUCAUACAAUGUGUUAUUUCUGUAAAUUUUAUCUAUUUCUUUAAUUUGCUUACGAUUAAUUAACUUCGCACAAAAGCUUCGUGAAGUUUUCAAACAACAAACAAACAAAAAAUACCGUUCCCAACGAAAUACCGGGCAGAUACCGACUAGCUCAAAGAAGGUCACGGACAAUCGCGCCUACAUGGGAACGAACGACAUUCACUCACAACAAAUUUGACAACAAAAAUAAAACGUAAAAAAACCCGUGCAGUCACAGACGGCAUCACACACACUCACAUAAGAACACAUACACAAAAAAAAAACCAAAAACAUAACAUGAAUCGUACUAUACUGCCCAGAAAAUUAAACUUACGAAAGUGAGAUAUAAGAAUUUUACAAUUCUCGAUAAGAUUCUUCUUUAGUAGAGGAGAAGGACAACAGAAAAAGCAAAUAUUGUACACACUUUGCCCUGUUUAGUUUCUCUUUUUGCGAUGCUUUCCUGUAUUUGUUGAAAUUAACAACAACAACAACAACAAAAAACUCUUCAAGUUGUGCGCCUUUUCUCUUUUGUUCUCGCAGCAAUUGUUUGCGAAUAGAACACUAAUAUCAAGGCAAUUGUUUUUCGUAAAAGUCGCUCUUACUUUUUUUUCUACCAGCGAAGAAGUUUAACUACUCCGUCAGAUGUGGGACAUUUGUGGGUUUGUUUUUUUUUUUCGGUGUUUAAGUUUCGAUCCAAACAGGCAAAACGAACAACAGCAACAAACAAAAAAAACAAACAGUGUAAAUUGAGAUGUGAGCAUAAACUAAGUCAUAAGUAAAUAAUUAGUUAAAACUGUACUGUAUGAAUGGCAACCACAGCAAAAAGAAGAAGAAAUGGAAACCAACCUAGUGUAAUCAAAAAAAACUUUUUAACAUACACUGACAACUUAAUUAUCGCAUCUUUUGCAUUAUUGAUUGAUUCAUUGGUUGAGAAAAGGCGAUGAAAAGUUAUCAUCAUUAAACAGCAGCAGCAAGUGAAGUCUAUAUAUGUAGCAUUUAAUGAAAAUAAUAUCUAAAAGAAAUACAAAAAAGAACUAGCCUAUUAAUUUAAAAUAGUUAUUUAUCUCAAAAAAGUAAUAAAAAGGUGAAAAAUAACAAUUAAAAAAAAACUUAUAGCCGAAAACAAAAAACCUAGACAAUUAGAAAAGUCACGUAUAGAACAUCUAAAAGUCGCUAAGUAAAAAAAGAGCAAAAUUUGAAUAAGAGAAUGAGAAAUUGUAAUUCAAAACUUCUUCCUCUCGUGGACAGCGAACACACAAGAUAGAAUAUUACUUUGCGGAUAAGAUCAAAAACAAACAAAACAAAAGAAAGAGGGGAAAUCACACACACACACACACAAAAAGAAAACCAAUAAUAUCACGUCAUCUAGGAGAAAGAGACAAAAAACUAAGAAAAGCGCUCUGUUGUACAGUAAAAAUAUUUUUUCUCUAUAUUUCUCUAUAUCAGUUACUAAUAGUAAGGUUUAAAGACAAAAGUAUUUAAAUAAAAAAGAAAAAUAAUUAAGCUAUAAGAACGCCGGGAAGUGCAUAUACACAUGGGUAGAGUGGCGCGAAGCAAGGCCGAUUCCGGCAGCCGUGAACCCCCUUUACAAAACUAUACACAGUAGGAAAAAACAACAUGGUAAUGUUACAUCUUUUCCGUGUAAUUACUUUUUACAUUUUACAUGGUGAUAAAAUUACAUGGAAAUAGAGGUAAUAUUACAGCAUUAUUUUUAUGUACUGUGUACCCAAAGCCCUGACCAUCAAAGGGUCCCUAAACCAACAAGCAAUCGAAUCUGACAUUCUCCAUAUCUCUAUUAACCGACAAAAAGGUAAUACAAAAUACUGCUUUUAACCUCCCCCGUAAAGUUCGUUGAUUCGUUGCGAUUUUAAGCAUGCCUCCGGAAUCGAUCCUGCCUCGCAAAGGGUGUUUAGCAAGGACAACUGAGAGCGACAGCAAAAAAUAGCAAAUCGAUAUAAGCGCAGAAGCAGCAGCAGCAGCAUCAUUGUGAGAUAUUAAAAGCAAACCAAAAAAAAAAAACGACACGUGUUAAUUUUAAUUUUUCUCCCUAACCCUUUCUCUUGUAUUAGAUAAGGCAUUUUUUUUCUUGAAAUCUUGAUGUUGAUAACAAAAAAAAAACAAAUAUUACAAAUCGAAGGUAAACCAACGUUGCUAUUGGCAGGAAACGGGAGAAAAAAAGCGGCGGCGUUUGCGACAGAAGUAUAAGGCAAAAAAAAAAUAAACAAAUGUUUAGAGCAGGAUCGUGUAUAUUGUUACAUUUAAUCGUAAGUCCAUUUUGAAGUUACUGACAAGUUAAUGAAGAAUCUCUCUCAAAAUAGUGUUGAAAGAAUCGUAGGAAAAUCAUUCAUCUCUAUCUACACAAUGGGCGAAUACAAUAAAGAAAGCAAAACAAAAAAAAAACUACCAAUUUACCCUACCCUACAGUUUGCAAAACAACAACACGGUCACAACACUUCAACUCCGAAAGGACAUCACAGCUAACCAAGAAUGAAGAAUCACACCAACACAAUCACACAUAAACACAAAACAGCACAACAACACAUUCAAACAUUCACACACACCAACAGCAUAAGAGCAAGAGAUGAUGUAUCAACAAUACCCUAUAACAGUGGAAGCAAAAUAGCGACUAACGGAAAAAAAAAUCAAGAUGAAAAAUGGACAAUUGAAAAUUGGUUUUCAUGUUAUUUAAUAAAAAAAGAAACAAGUUAAUAAGAUUAAAGAAAACACAAGUGAUGGCUUUCAAAAUUAUAUAAAAGAAAAAUCUAAAAAAAUAAAUAAAAGUUAAUAAAAAGCUAACAAUUUUUCGCCUUUUGCAUUAAAAAAAAAAAUACACAUACACAAAGAAAAAGUGACACGCUAGCCAACAAAACCAGUGAUUAGGAAACAUUACAAUACUGUUACAAACAAAAAAACUCUUCUCUCUGUUUCUCUGAUGGCAAUAGGAAUCGAGAAACAUAGUGGACACAAUUUGGAAACUACUGCACUCGUAAUAAAAGAAAAUACACAAAGAAAAAAAACACACACAAACACACUUUUUCUUCUUGGUAGAAAAUCCCCGUCUCCUAGACAACAUCCACAGACAAAAAAACAUUCACUCACACCAGAUAACAACCACAACAAAAACAAAACUACCAAAAUGGUUCAUCCCAAAUCAUUCAUCAUCGUGCGCGCCAACUAUGAGCGACCCCACCGGGCACCUCUCGAAUACAACAACAACCUUGUUCCUUCUCUGGAAAUGAAAAUAUAAGGAAAACAAUUGCAAACUCUCUUCAGCUCUGAAAUGCUCCUCCCCUUUUUCGCGUGAGAAACAAAACAAUGCACACUCUUCACAAAACGCAAACCCUCCCUCCUCUUCUUCACGCAAACAACCAACAGCAAACAACAGCCAAACAAAAAAAAAAUCUCACAAACAAACACUCACACACACACGCGCGCGCGCAGAUAAAAGAACAAAGAACACAAACGAAGUGAGAGUAACCAACCGUGUGUAAAACUUGUCAAUUUUCGCAAAUAAUAAAAAAAGACAUCUACUGAAAGUCGAAGCAAAAUACAAUUAAAACUACAAAUAAAAAAGAAAUACAAAAGACAAAACAAACAACAAACAGCAACAACAGCGAACGUAACCUUCUUUCAAAGUAAACAAAAAACUCCGAGCUAGAGUUGUUUAGGAAAAUAACAAAAAUUCUCACAACUUCAAACAAAAUAGACAACCACCUUUGAGAGCAAACAACAAAAAGUCAAAAAGGGAGAGAACAAAAACAAAAACAAAAAAAAACUUUGCAUGCAAAAACUUGAAAACAGAACAUCAGACUACAGAAAAAAAGAAAAAUCACUCCAAGUAGCAAUAGACA
RNA transcript from Culex pipiens pallens (northern house mosquito), 7910 nucleotides. It is a transcript of the gene named syntaxin-1A, with no coding region annotated. NCBI's taxonomy places the organism in Eukaryota, Metazoa, Arthropoda, Insecta, Diptera, Culicidae. The transcript is spliced from 10 exons. The record is from RefSeq and is a predicted model, not a curated record.